Molecule: long non-coding RNA, 337 nt
Filed under: Theobroma cacao (cacao)
Lineage: Eukaryota; Viridiplantae; Streptophyta; Magnoliopsida; Malvales; Malvaceae
Description: long non-coding RNA (TCAC_LNC001157)
Source: RNAcentral
ACUUUUUCUUCUCAAUUUUUAUAAACUAUUACAAAAGACAAUCACCCCAAACUGAACUUUUGGCCUUGACCUCCAAAACGGAGGGAUUAUAAUUUGCAGGUGAUGUUCGACAAGUAAUUAUUGCACUUCACUUCUGGAAUGACAGGAGUACUACUGUUACAGAAAUAUCUGAAUAUCACCUGCGGCAGAAAAAUGUGAAAUCUGGCUGAUUGACCUGAAGAAGUCUCAACCAAUUGUCAGCAGCCUGAAAGAGGUUGUUUGCCAAGUGACGAUCACUUGCUCCAUUAGGUGUCCACAAGGAACCCUUGAACUUGUAUGAAGCAAGACCAAAAACAGG